AUGCACCUUUACUUGUCUUUUCUGUCAACCCCCCCCCCCCUCACUUCUUUACGAUAACUCAGUGUAGUUGACAAAUUUUAAAAAAAAUUGGAUUGUGUGCUGAUUUUUUUAUUGCACAGAUCUUGGUCUAAGGUCAAGUAUUGGAAGGUCUAUGUUGGUAAGUUGUUUACAAGGUAUGCUGGACCAGAAAUGCUCUCAUUUUACCAGCAUAUCUACAUUCCAAACCACAUCUGUGGUCAGGAGUUUUGUGUGGUAAUGAGGUCGUAGAUACAAAUGGCAAAAUGAGGUCCCUCCAUAUAGUUACUGUGUUUACUCUGAGCUGUGGUUCACAAAGUGGGAGUACCCAAGGGGAUGUGGAGGUACUACGGGAGAGUGGUAAGAUGAUUUCCAUACAUUUGGUAAAGUUUUAAAAUAUUACAAAUUGCAUAUUUUAACCUUACUGGGUUACAAAAGAUUAAAAAAAAUGUAGUGAGUCUGCUGCUUCUACAUCCUGAUUGUUUAUGAUGCGUCAGUUGUAGAUGUACUGUACUGUGUACAGUACUGUGGUUGUUAGGCUGUUGUGUUUUUGUGUUGUUGUAAGACCUGUGUUUCCACCAUAGACUGCUUUGAACAGGGCUUUCUAUAUUUCAAACAUAAAAAGCCUGGGGAUAGUGGGGAUCACAAGUUUUUGGCACUGUUAUUUUGGGGGUUAGAUUUUUGAAAGAACUCAGAACCCCUGUCUUAGAGAAUCCUACUCCUACCCUUUCAGCCUUGAAUACACUCCCUUGUGGAUACGCACAUGGACAACUGUGGGCACCACAGAUGGUAUAUGUUGCUAUUUUACUACUUGUCAGCAGCAAGGUACUUGGAAGACUCUGUUCCUGAUAUGGACAGUCAGGCGUAAUACUUUUAAGUAUGUGCACCAUUGCCCCUUGUGACAUAAUCCACUCAGAUGCCAAUUUUGGCCUCCUGUGCAGACUCUGGCAGCCUGGGGAGAUUAAAUUUACAUCAUGAGGACCAUCACAUACUCAUUUACAUGAGUACCAUACUGCCCUUAGAUUGUGCAAGAAGCUCUGAGUAGAACUGCUUUUUCUUUAAGUCAAGAGAACUGGUAGAAAACUCUUGAAUAGAAAAUGCUCGUGGGAUUAUUUCAUUGGCUUUGGCAAGACAUCUGGAUACCACAGAAGGAAAUGUAAGACAUUACUGUGGAAAACAUCUGGACUGCCUUCGUGGCUUGCAGCCUCCAUGCUCUGGCAAUGGAUACCAGGUAGAAAAUGAAAAAGCUGUAUUGAGUAAUAAAGGUUUAAUAAGUGUUUUUCUUUAUACACUAAUUCUCACCACGUAACAGCAAUUGGUUGGCUGUCUGAUUUGCUGGAGGUUAUAACUCUUGAAUGUUCUUCCUUUAUGAGGAACAAAUUCAGUGCUGCUUGAUGCUUCUUAGUUAAAUAUAAAUACAUACUCACAUUCACAGUUCGACAUUUAGAUGAAUAUGUUGCCCCUUAGAGGGUUCUGUAGAUUUUUGUUUUCUAAUAGUAUCAGUUUGUAGAUUAGCAUUUAGAGCAGAUAACAUCCAUUUCCAUCCAUUUCUCAAUGGAUUGCUUUCAUGUAAGCAAAGCAGAAGCAUAAUUUUGUUACAUUCCUGAUGCAGAGACUCAGGUGCAGGCAAUGAAGACACAACAGAAUUCUAAUACAAAAAUAUUUAUUACAGAAAUAGGGUAUUUUAUCGAAACAGAACUGACAAAAUUGAAAACGACUAAACUCAAGAAGGACCCCUAAAGGGCUGGAGAUAUACAACAACUAGAAGACUAAGGCUACGUUCAUACUGCAGGGCUUAAUGCCAAUUUUUUUUGUGAAAUCCGAUUUUUUUUUUUUGCGAGUUCGUUCACAUUUCCAAUUAAAUGCGACUUGUAUGUGAUCUCCUGUUUGAACCUCACAUGACCUAGCUUGAAAAAUCCAAACUGAAUCUCCAUGUAAUCUCCUAUCUCCAUGUUAGGAGAUACAGGAGAAUCAGUUUGGCAUUGGGCGAACUGAAUCGCGUUUCCCUCCCAGGACAGUUUGGUACGAUCAAUCAUAGCACGGGAGGCGGGAGUUAAUGCUGCGUCAUCUUCAGCACCUGGAUUACCCAUAAAACACCUGCGCACCUCCCGUAACCAAACACCAACAUUCAAGAUGGCGACCGCAACACAUCGAUCUUUUACCACCACUCUUUCUUCUGUUUUGAAUGAGCUAGAUUUGACCUUAAAACCACAGCAAGAAGUAGCUUUGAGGGCUUUUCUUUUUUCUUUGCUACACUACCGACAGGAUUUGGAAAAAGUCUGAUUUAUCAGCUUGCUCCACUCGUAGCUAAGAAAAUGGGCCUGUAUGCUAAUCUGGUCGUGGUUGUUGUUUCACCACUCGUGGCACUGAUGGAACAACAAGUAAAGGAUGCGAGUACAUUUGGGGUCACUGCUAUGCAGCUUGGUGCAGUGACAAAGACAUUUUCAGCGGUCAAGCUCAGUUGUUGUUUGGAAGUCCGGAGGCAUGGUUGCUAAAUGAUAAAUGGUGUAACUUAUUGUCUAGCCAAAUGGAUCUUGUUGGUGUCAUAGUGGACGAGGUUCACCUGACAUACAAAUGGUACGUAUUUUUUGUUUCUGCAAAAUUACUUGAUCCAUAAUACCAAGGCUAAAAAUGUAAACAUUCUAAUAUAAAUGCUUUUGCCACCAGGGGCCAAGCUGCAAAGGGCAGGCGUGCUUUCAGAGACAGUUUCUCAAGGCUGGCUGAACUGCGAUCCAUGGUCAAAGCUGGUACACCAAUAUUGGCACUGACAGCUUCUGCAGACCUGAAAUCGAGAGCAAUGGUGAUAAGGCAGCUACUUCUGGACAACCCAAUGGUUUUGACAGAGUCCUAACAGAUCGAACAUCAGACUUGGAGUCCAGCGUAUUUCUGGAGAUUCUCUGGACUGUCUGGACUGGAUUGUAGAGGAGCUAAAAGACAAAAGGCUGUCGAUGUCUCCGAUAAUAAUUUACUGUCGGACAUUAAAAGCAGUUGGGAGAGUCUUCUGCUAUUUAAAAGCAGAAUUGGGUGAGGAUUCUUGGGUUGACAGGGAUCCGGAGCACAAACUUGAGAACUUGCUUGUUGGCAUGUAUCAUAGUAAAACGCUUUCAGAAAAUAAAAAUUACGUGCUAUCCUCUUUCAGCGGAAAUGGCAAUUGUAGAGUUGUGGUGGCCACAACAGCUCUUGGUAUGGGAUUAAAUUUUCCUAAUGUGUCCCAUGUAGUUUUAUACGGUGUACCUGAGGAUGUGGACGUCAUUGUUCAGGAGAUUGGCAGGGCGGGGAGAAACGGGGCGCAGUCACAUGCUGUGAUUUACAGUAUUAAACAAAAUACAAAUGUGGAUGACACAGUAAAAGAGCUGCUGAAUGUAGCCCUGAGUAGAAGCAUCCGAAAAGCUUUGUACAGUCAUUUUGAUGAAGAUCCCUCAUCUGUUCUUCCAGGACAUUUGUGCUGUACAUAUUGUCACUUAAAAUGUGUCUGCCACCCUGACGGGUGCAAGGAGCCCUUGCCUUUGUAUGAGCGACCCCGAAGUGACGCAUCUGUAUUCACUAAAAGUAGAGGUAACGGAUGAUGACAGAGUACUGUUAAGAGAUUUGCUGGAGCAAUACCAAGACCAUUUGCUUCAUGAAACUACACACCUUUGUACGAGUAAAACUGCUUGCACUGGUUUUGGUGUAGAACUCAUUGAGACCAUCAUAGAGCACAGUUCCAGAAUCUUUGAUGUGUCUUACAUAACUUCACACCUUCCAGUUUUGCAUACAAGCAUGCUGAAGGUAUUCUCAGAAUAGUUCAAGAGGUUUUUGAGGAUAUUGAAAACUGUCCAAGUCCAGCAGAUUCUGACAUUGAUUCCUUUUCGAUUCCUGAUAUAAAUUACAGCGGGUACUUUGAUGUAGAAGAGACCCAGGGUGCGUCAUCACUCAGCAGUUCAGAGUCAGGAAUAGCUCCAUUGGAAUGCUCAUACUGAUUUUCAUUUACUUUUUUUUGUAAUUACUGUGAAUGAAGAUAUUCUCAUUCAUGCCUUUUCAGAUAAUGUCUAAAACAACUUGUAUUUCUUACGAAACCAUUUGAAUAUAUCCCUAAAUGUUGAAUUACAAGUUUCUUUGAUGUGAACUACAUGAUGAAUAAAUAUUAAACAUUUUAAAUGA
This is a long non-coding RNA of Acanthochromis polyacanthus (spiny chromis), 4155 nucleotides long. RefSeq lists it as uncharacterized. Lineage: Eukaryota; Metazoa; Chordata; Actinopteri; Pomacentridae. The transcript is spliced from 2 exons. The record is from RefSeq and is a predicted model, not a curated record.